UCAACCAACCUCCCACAUUCCCCUCACUCUCCAUUUCUCACUCCAAAGCAGCCGAUUCAAUUCCAAAAACCUAGUUCCCUAAAAUUCUCUACACAUUCAACCUUAGUCUUCUUGUUAGCACUACAUUCCCUCACUAUCAAAUUUUCACCCAGGUGAUUCCUUGUCCACGGCAACGGAGGCGUCGGGAAAAUUUAACCUGGCCUGGAUAAUCAAAGCGACGGCGGCGGCGGCAGUAGACGCGACCCAAAUUGGAAGUUUACAGUCAGUUCUAACAGAUGAAAAAAGAGAAGAACGUGGUCAAAAGAGGACGACCCUGCAAGCCCAAUUUUAACACCGAAGAUGAGACAGCUUCUCUGAAAUGCUGUUGAAAUGCGGUCAGCCAAAACUAGGAGCCAUUAUCAAACGAUGUGCAGUUAAUAUCAAUUUGUGGAAAUGCCUUGGAGAACCAAUUAUAACCAAAUAGAUGACAACAUUCACUUGAUGAGGCACAUGGAGACAUUCUUUGGAGCAAAGGAGAAGGAAUGACGCUGUGACCUGACAACAAAUGGCACCAAAAGUCUAGAAACAAUGAGAAUGAAGGUGAAUAGCACCUUGAUUCUGUCCGAGCACAAUGCCUGGGCGAAGGUUAGCCAAAAUUUAGCAACAGCACACGGGAAAGCCAAGAAGAUCAAAGGCAGCUUCGAAAAUUGACUCGCGUAUUAUGGGCAGUAAUGUGUUUUAUGGCCAGAGAUUUGGAUUGUGAAUCACAAUUUUAUUUUUUAAAGUCUGUUUUUGGUACUAAGGUUAAUGACUUGGAUCUAGCUAAUAUAAUUAUUGUUUUAUCA
Molecule: long non-coding RNA, 824 nt
Organism: Salvia hispanica
Lineage: Eukaryota; Viridiplantae; Streptophyta; Magnoliopsida; Lamiales; Lamiaceae
Source: RefSeq, a predicted model, not a curated record